RNAcentral lists this long non-coding RNA (1202 nucleotides) under Gopherus evgoodei (Goodes thornscrub tortoise). RNAcentral's name for it is "lncRNA (ENSGEVG00005004196.1)". Lineage: Eukaryota; Metazoa; Chordata; Testudines; Testudinidae. The record is from RNAcentral.
CUAGGCUACAGGCUGGGGCUUCCGAGCGGCUCCAGCGCCGAACGCCAGCAGUUGCCGGAAGUGGCGUGUCCGCGGUUGUUAGUCGCGUUGCAUGCUGGGGGAAAUGGCCUAAGUGGGCGGCGGUGGGGGGAGGGGGCUGGGUCGGACCGAGGUGGGUGCUGUUGCCGCGGGCUUUGACAUGGGUUCCCCCUGAUGGCGGCCGCCCCGGGAGGCCCCAGAUAACACCGGCCUGGUCCCUGUGCGGAGCCACCCUCUGCCUGGCCAUGCCAGGCCCAGCCGCCCCUGCAGGAGGCCGGAGAUGGAACCCACUUCUCAGCCCUUUGCUGCUUCUCUGCCAACCAGAUGGACCACUGAAUUGUAUAAGGUAUGCCAUUUUGGUAGUCAUUUUGGGUGUUCUUUUUUUUUUUUUUAAAGAAAGCGUGACAUUACAGAUCUGUCUCUGGAUGGCUUGGCGUGGAGGGGGAAGGAGAACAUACAGCACACAUGGGAAGCAUUGAGUUUAGUUUGCUGCUGCUCCAAUAACUUUUGUAACAAAUAUUAAACCCUGCAAUAAUGUGAUGGAAAAUUACUAUUGAGGUUUGCAGUGUUGUGUCAAAUUUUCAGGGUAAUGGCACCUGUAUGUUUCCCUUGAGGGGACCCACUUAAAGAUUUCUGACUCCUAGCCAUCACCUCUACUGCAUGAAGGCUUGCAUCUCACUCCCUUUUAACUGAGGGUUUUAAGGCUGCCCAACUCCCCCACCUAUACUUCGAUAUCUCCAGCAAACCAGUCUUCCUAAAAGGCCAAUGCCUGUGCUUUGCUUUCUCUCCAAGGGCUAUGGCCAGUGUAUUGCUGGCAGUUACAAGUUGCCAUGCACAUUUAUUCUUAAGGUAAAACAUUACAGAGAAAGCCUAUAAAAAAUAAAAUAUCUACAUGCAUGCUCAACAGCUCAUGAGAGGUCACCCCCAGCUCCAACAUAGGGUUCUAGUAGGCCUCAGUCCUUCAGACCUCGCAACUGUGGGUUACCAAGUUCACAUCAGUCUUAAGAUCAGGAACCAGACCUGAGGCUGGGCAGAUCUACCAUUUGAUCUACCUUUGGUCUCAGGAGCGGCUCCAGGGUUUUUGGUGCCCUAGGCGGGGGUCCUUCCACGCUCCCAAUCAGCAGCAAUUCGGCGACGGGGGGGGGGGGGUCCUUCCGUGCUCCCGGUCUUCAGGGCACUUCAGC